UUGAAGCUACAGUUCAUCCACAUUGGUGUUCAGCAUUAGGUUCCUUCUUUCGCAACAAGGUUUUGCUACGAUUCUUGAUUUUAGUGGUGCUGCCGUAUGGCUGCAAGGAUGUUGGUGUGGACGUGAUUCUGUGGCUGCUAGCAUUGCUGUUGGUGAAUACGUCUAGAUUGCGGUUGUGAUUGUCCGGCUGACAAACAAAGAGUACUGGAUAUCAAUUGCCAACAAUUCUUCUUCGGCAGCCAUUUUUGUUGUUUCCUCAAAGUGAUUGGCUGUAGGGAGGAAGCAUGGAGGGUUGGCUGUGUGUUUCAAUUUAGAUCUUGGUAGUUUGUGGGGGUUGUGGCGCCAUCAUCUAUGCCUUGAUUUUUUGUCUCUCGCGGAGUGCUGUUCCGUGAUGUUGUUUUCGUGGAGUGGCAACGUUGUCAUCUUGGAGUAGAAUGCGCAAUCUUGAUAAUAUUGCCCCUGUGCCAUUGAAGAGGCUCUAGUGUAGUUCCCUGUUCCAACUCCUUGUUUUUUUCUCUUUGAUUGGUUAUUACUGAUUGAGUUUUGUCAUUUUAGUGUUUUUUUAUCUUCUGUUUGUUCCGUGACUUGUGGUCAGGCUUUGAGUGUGUACUCUGUUGCAUUGGCAAUCAAUAAUUCUGGCAUUCGAAACUGCGUGGCUUGCAGAGGUCUUCUUGUUCCAAGUCUGAAAUUCAAUCUGAUUUCUUAAAAAGGUCAAGGGUCAUUUGAAGCAGUGGAUUGUGAGUGUUUAAGAUAGCUGCCUUGUAGCAAGUAUAUCUUUCUGCUCUUGUUGGACGUCAGGGGAUAAUACUGCUUUCAACAAAUGGAACGGGUUAUUUUAGUAUUUAAAUUGUAGACUGGAGAGGGAUGUUUGGGACCUAGAUUGUGAUUUGCAUGUAGUGAGUGAGGCUGAUAUUGGAGCUUCUAUUGACACUUCCGGAGAAGCAAUGUGAUCCAGACUUCAGUGCUGAUGAAGUUGAUUCUUUUUUCUAAUUCAAAUUCCAAAUUCUAAUUCAUUAUGGUAGCAAUGGUGUGGCAAUUGUUCUGCAAUCACCUUGGUCCAGGCUCAUUCCCGACACCCUCUUCAGUGGUGAAGAACCUCUGCUUGGCAGAAGAGAAUCAUGGUGUGGAUCUGCGGCUUUAGUGCCCAACCUUCAAAUGAAGCAGAGGUCCAUGCUCAUUUCCCAACGACCCUCAUCUUGGCAAGGUGAUUGGCUCUUAGACAAUUAGGUUAGAAGUAGGAAGUUAGGGAUUUACAAAAAAAUAUAUAUAUAUAUAUAUAUACAAAUCAAAUACAAAUACAAAUUGGAUGAAUAGUUUAAUCAAAGAUGAAUUUUUAAACAUGGAUAAAGUAUGAGGAUGAAUUGUUAUUCAAGGAUGAAAUUUUAUUCAUGGAUGAAUUUUAAUUAAAUAGAAAC
This 1415-nucleotide long non-coding RNA is filed under the name Physcomitrium patens. RNAcentral's name for it is "long non-coding RNA (PPAT_LNC014851)". The record is from RNAcentral. Lineage: Eukaryota; Viridiplantae; Streptophyta; Bryopsida; Funariales; Funariaceae.